UGCAGAAGAAGCACCGGCUAACUCCGUGCCAGCAGCCGCGGUAAUACGGAGGGUGCGAGCGUUAAUCGGAAUUACUGGGCGUAAAGCGCAUGCAGGUGGUUUGUUAAGUCAGAUGUGAAAGCCCGGGGCUCAACCUCGGAAUUGCAUUUGAAACUGGCAAACUAGAGUACUGUAGAGGGGGUAGAAUUUCAGGUGUAGCGGUGAAAUGCGUAGAGAUCUGAAGGAAUACCGGUGGCGAAGGCGGCCCCCGUCGGACAGAUACUGACACUCAGAUGCGAAAGCGUGGGGAGCAAACAGGAUUAGAUACCCUGGUAG
This 315-nucleotide ribosomal RNA is filed under the name uncultured bacterium. Its description in RNAcentral is "bacterial SSU rRNA". It matches the Rfam family "Bacterial small subunit ribosomal RNA", at positions 480 to 793 of the family's 1533-position model. The record is from RNAcentral.